Molecule: ribosomal RNA, 465 nt
Filed under: Vreelandella stevensii
Lineage: Bacteria; Pseudomonadati; Pseudomonadota; Gammaproteobacteria; Oceanospirillales; Halomonadaceae
Description: partial 16S ribosomal RNA
Rfam family: Bacterial small subunit ribosomal RNA
Source: RNAcentral
CCUACGGGUGGCUGCAGUGGGGAAUAUUGGACAAUGGGCGAAAGCCUGAUCCAGCCAUGCCGCGUGUGUGAAGAAGGCCUUCGGGUUGUAAAGCACUUUCAGUGGGGAAGAAAGCCUUGGGGCUAAUACCCUCGAGGAAGGACAUCACCCACAGAAGAAGCACCGGCUAACUCCGUGCCAGCAGCCGCGGUAAUACGGAGGGUGCGAGCGUUAAUCGGAAUUACUGGGCGUAAAGCGCGCGUAGGCGGUCUGAUAAGCCGGUUGUGAAAGCCCCGGGCUCAACCUGGGAACGGCAUCCGGAACUGUCAGGCUAGAGUGCAGGAGAGGAAGGUAGAAUUCCCGGUGUAGCGGUGAAAUGCGUAGAGAGCGGGAGGAAUACCAGUGGCGAAGGCGGCCUUCUGGACUGACACUGACGCUGAGGUGCGAAAGCGUGGGUAGCAAACAGGAUUAGAUACCCGGGUAGUC